RNAcentral lists this long non-coding RNA (1235 nucleotides) under Homo sapiens (human). RNAcentral's name for it is "non-protein coding lnc-CLDN20-7:1". The record is from RNAcentral. Lineage: Eukaryota; Metazoa; Chordata; Mammalia; Primates; Hominidae.
AAGUCCUGCCGCGAGAAGGGCAGGCUGGGUGGUCGGCGGCUUCCGCCUGUGAGAGCCGGGGGAGAGCCGGGUGGACUAGGCUUCUCCUGGGCGGGCUAUGGGGAGAGCGCCCAGGAGGGCGGGACGAGGCGGGGCCUGGACAGGGUGGGGUUUUUCGGAGGAGUUGCUCUGAGAGGUGCAGCCGGUUUACUCCCGCCCUGAAGUUCCCAAGGGCUUCCGGCUCUUUAACGUUCUAAAUACCUGUCUGUGAAUAUUAGAGGAAAAGCGGGUGCUUAGAGGCAAAGCUACUGUUUGUUAGCAAUUCUUUCUUACUGUGAGGCGUUUUUAGAACCGCCGCUCUGCAGAUGCUGCAUGAUGGGUUUUUAACUUCGUUCAGCCUCAGUUUUUUCAUCAGUUAAAUGGAGCUAAUGUCUACCUCAAAAUUGUGAGCACUAAAUGAGAGAGAUCGCCUGGUGUGCACGUUCAGAACAUAGUGCACGCAUGGCAUUGGGUAAGCUCCCACGUGAUCAGUGGUGGCUGUUAUUAUUUGGCAGAUGAAUAAUUGGCCAGUGUAAAGAGGUCAUUCGAUUUGCUAGGAUUACAGCUAAGAACAGAGAGAAGACUGAAAUAUGAGUUCUGUCUUUCCGUUAUACGAGAUAAAAACAACGAAGCAAAAAAAAAAAAAAAUUAAAGUUUCUCUGAUAGGUGGGAGAAUUUUGCUGUUUUAACCCUGCUUAUGUUUGGACAUUGCUGCGUUGAUCACAAAUGAAUUUUAAAGUUUCUGUUCCUCAAUUAGUAAGUUUUUAAAAAAGCUAAUGGAAAACGAAACAACUAUGGGUAUGGAUAUAAAAAUGAGGAGUACUUUGAAAUUCCAGUGGAAAACUCAACCACCUUCUAUAAAAGCUGUUUUAAAAGGAACUGAGAUAAUCUCCUAGCUUUAAAAAAUAGUGAUGACUACCAUAGAGGUAAGGAGAUUUGCCCAACGUGGCAUCAAAAUGUAGACUGGAAGUACAAACUCUUGAUUCAGAUAUCUUAUCGUCCAAAACACAGUAUACCUGACAAAGCAUUAUUUCACAGUUAUAUUCAUUAUUUCCCGUACUCCUCACAAUGGUCCCAUGUGAAUGAGAUUAUUAUUCUUAGUUUGCUGUGAAGAAAUAGGGGAGGUGAGGUCAUUUGACAAUGCCCAGAGUCAGACAGCAAAGUACAGAGAGAAGACAACCUGAGUUGUGUUUUUUCUGAGUUCUGAUCUCACUGGC